This 294-nucleotide unclassified non-coding RNA is filed under the name uncultured fungus. RNAcentral's name for it is "partial contains small subunit ribosomal RNA, internal transcribed spacer 1, and 5.8S ribosomal RNA". The stretch from base 1 to 73 matches the Rfam family "Eukaryotic small subunit ribosomal RNA", at positions 1759 to 1831 of the family's 1831-position model. Lineage: Eukaryota; Fungi. The record is from RNAcentral.
GCAAACUUGGUCAUUUAGAGGAAGUAAAAGUCGUAACAAGGUUUCCGUAGGUGAACCUGCGGAAGGAUCAUUACUGAAUUGCACCCCUGUGGUGCUUCCCUCAUCCCUCUGGGAUUUGGGGCUUUCCAAACCCCUGUGCACCUCGGCUGGUCUCACCUUCCUUUGCGGGAAGGUGCUGCACCUGCUUUUUUUUUAUCUUACUCCUGCUAUGUUUGCCGAACGUUCAUUCUGUAUAUUUUGAAAACAACUUUCAACAAUGGAUCUCUUGGCUCUCGCAUCGAUGAAGAACGCAGC